AUUCAGCUGACGAGUCCCAAACAGGACAAAACGAGCGUCCUGGAU
This 45-nucleotide non-coding RNA is filed under the name Schistosoma margrebowiei. The record is from RNAcentral. Lineage: Eukaryota; Metazoa; Platyhelminthes; Trematoda; Strigeidida; Schistosomatidae.